RNAcentral lists this ribosomal RNA (624 nucleotides) under uncultured Alphaproteobacteria bacterium. RNAcentral describes it as "bacterial SSU rRNA". It matches the Rfam family "Bacterial small subunit ribosomal RNA", at positions 49 to 720 of the family's 1533-position model. The record is from RNAcentral. Lineage: Bacteria; Pseudomonadati; Pseudomonadota; Alphaproteobacteria.
UAAUACAUGCAAGUCGAACGAGAUCUUCGGAUCUAGUGGCGCACGGGUGCGUAACGCGUGGGAAUCUGCCCUUGGGUUCGGAAUAACGUCGGGAAACUGACGCUAAUACCGGAUGAUGACGAAAGUCCAAAGAUUUAUCGCCCAGGGAUGAGCCCGCGUAGGAUUAGCUAGUUGGUGGGGUAAAGGCUCACCAAGGCUACGAUCCUUAGCUGGUCUGAGAGGAUGAUCAGCCACACUGGGACUGAGACACGGCCCAGACUCCUACGGGAGGCAGCAGUAGGGAAUAUUGGACAAUGGGGGCAACCCUGAUCCAGCAAUGCCGCGUGAGUGAUGAAGGCCUUAGGGUUGUAAAGCUCUUUUACCCGAGAUGAUAAUGACAGUAUCGGGAGAAUAAGCUCCGGCUAACUCCGUGCCAGCAGCCGCGGUAAUACGGAGGGAGCUAGCGUUGUUCGGAAUUACUGGGCGUAAAGCGCACGUAGGCGGCGAUUUAAGUCAGAGGUGAAAGCCCGGGGCUCAACCCCGGAACUGCCUUUGAGACUGGAUUGCUAGAAUCUUGGAGAGGCGGGUGGAAUUCCGAGUGUAGAGGUGAAUUCGUAGAUAUUCGGAAGAACACCAGUGGCGAAG